UUCGGGGGCAGAGUGACAGGUGGUGCAUGGUUGUCGUCAGCUCGUGUCGUGAGAUGUUGGGUUAAGUCCCGCAACGAGCGCAACCCUUGAUCUUAGUUGCCAUCAUUAAGUUGGGCACUCUAAGGUGACUGCCGGUGACAAACCGGAGGAAGGUGGGGAUGACGUCAAAUCAUCAUGCCCCUUAUGACCUGGGCUACACACGUGCUACAAUGGACGGUACAAAGAGUCGCAAGACCGCGAGGUGGAGCUAAUCUCAUAAAACCGUUCUCAGUUCGGAUUGUAGGCUGCAACUCGCCUACAUGAAGCUGGAAUCGCUAGUAAUCGCGGAUCAGCAUGCCGCGGUGAAUACGUUCCCGGUCUUGUACACACCG
This 371-nucleotide ribosomal RNA is filed under the name Bacillus sp. Expt1_P1_A11. RNAcentral's name for it is "bacterial SSU rRNA". It matches the Rfam family "Bacterial small subunit ribosomal RNA", at positions 1019 to 1392 of the family's 1533-position model. RNAcentral also lists the same sequence under 3 other names. Lineage: Bacteria; Bacillati; Bacillota; Bacilli; Caryophanales; Bacillaceae. The record is from RNAcentral.